CAAGACUGCAAGUGAAACAACUUUGGUGCCACUGGGUGAAGAGGGUGGGCGAGUGGACGGGCGGCGGACGAGGGAGGAUAAGAUGGGGAACGUUUGAUAGACAAACCGAAAUAUCCUCAAAGAACUCGUCAAAGAGCGAGGGAGAAGGGGAGAGAGAGAGAGAGAGAGAGCGAUAGAGAGCAAGUAGGAAAGAUGUGAUUCGAAGCCCGAACAAAUCUCAGUCUGGGACUGAUGAAUGAGAGGAAUUCAUGCCUCCUCCAAAUGACCUGCAUUCCCCCUCGCGGUGGGAACGACACAAGGCUCCGCUGUGUUUCAUCCCCAGCAGCCCAUCCUCUCACCUGUGCAAAUUACCGUGUGCAAACAGACUGGAUCUCUCGCUAGCUUCAUGUGGUUGGCCACUUCCCUCGCCGGGACAGGCCCUACUCAGGAGAAAUAAGCCGUUUCCUGUUCGUCGAGGGGAAAGAUAUGCCCCCACUGUGUAACGACAAAAAGGAAAAUGAAGAUAAGGUGAAAACCAGCUUGGUGGAAGAAAAAAAGACAACAAAUAAAAGGGAAGUAAGAACAUUUUUUUUCAGUAUGCUGAACAUACUGUACUCAAUUAUGUAUAUUUGUCACUUAUUGCAUCUGAUGGCUGUCAUCUCCAUUGGCACCUCCUUCGACUGCACCUCAAGUGUUUAAUUUGCAGUAUAUGGCAACAUCUGGUGGCUCUUGAGGCUAAAUGAUAAGUUUAGAAUGUGCAACAAUCAAUAGUUGUCAAGUGUUGCUUUUCACAUGGUGUCACAGGCUGUCAAGAAGUCACAAAAUCAUUAUGCACUGACGGUAUUUUGUCUCCUAUGCUGAAAAUCAUGACGGCUAUUACUGGAAAAUUUAGUUCAUGCGAGUUUGACAUGUAUAUUCAUGACCACUACAAUUGGUGUGUUUGAUAGAUUUUUCCUAUUUGUUAAUUGGUGUCCACAUUUGAUUCCACGAUACCGUAAGUGCUCUUCUUUACAGGACGUUGUUCUGUGUUUUCUUAAUGCUUUUCACGUUUGAGAAAUGUGGUCAGAACAUUGUAUGCGUCCGAGAAAUUUGUUCCGUUACUAAGCUCUGACAAACCUAGUUUCUGGUGCAGUUGUAUGCGCAUGGUAUCUGUGAAGAAAUAAUGAUCACAAUUUGGCCACAGGGGAGCGAAGACAACAUUAAGGACGUGUACUCAUACAAUAUGUAAAGCUCUGUGGAGACACAUGCCCAGACUGCAGUGCCCUCGUGUAAAAGCAUAUCGCUUCACUUUUAUCAUUGCAACAUAGAUUAUUAAUGAACAUUGUAAUGAAACGUGGCAAUGCAAUGUUGAAUUAAAUAAUUUUAAAGCAUUGCAUCAUAAAUAAAUAUCAUCUUAAGCUAUCUUUUAUAGCAGCUUUUUUGAUUUCUUCUUCCAGUUUUACCUGCAGUAAUAGAAACUCCUUCUUUCAUCAGUAAUAAUAGGUGUAUCUUACCAGUAAGUUAUGUACAACUUGUAUUAGGAAAAAUCACAUAUAUAUAUAUAGAUAUAUAUACAAAAGAAAAGAAAACAAACUUUCAGCCAGAGUAAGACGUAAAAA
This 1577-nucleotide long non-coding RNA is filed under the name Scophthalmus maximus (turbot). Its description in RNAcentral is "lncRNA (ENSSMAG00000026523.1)". Lineage: Eukaryota; Metazoa; Chordata; Actinopteri; Pleuronectiformes; Scophthalmidae. The record is from RNAcentral.